Molecule: long non-coding RNA, 375 nt
Filed under: Homo sapiens (human)
Lineage: Eukaryota; Metazoa; Chordata; Mammalia; Primates; Hominidae
Description: novel transcript
Source: RNAcentral
CUUUCAUCCUCAGGAUGGGAAGUCCUCACAGAGUUCAGUUUUCCCUGGGGCUUGUGAUCACUGUCUCCUUGGUGACAUGCAAUCUGGGAGUGCUUUCUGGAGUCUGAUAAGAACAUACUGGCACAUUGCCUGUGACGUGUGGGACCCAGGCAUUUUCAGUGCUGAGGACUGUGUGUUUCUGUGCUGGAACUCAAGUGAACACUGGCUCAACAUCCUUAGAAAUCCAGCCCAAUUCUCUUGGUUAAAGAUAAGAUUCCAUUUUGGAUGCCCCCGUCGGGACUGUGUGUCACUGUACUGGAACUCGAGUGAACACUUAGCUCAAAAUCUAUUGCUGUUCUCUAGAAUCCAGCCCAAUUCUCAUGGUUAAAUAUAAGG